Tupaia belangeri (northern tree shrew) is the source of this 137-nucleotide non-coding RNA. The record is from Rfam. NCBI's taxonomy places the organism in Eukaryota, Metazoa, Chordata, Mammalia, Scandentia, Tupaiidae.
AGGGAGGGAGGCUGCGGACGAGAGCGGGGAGGAGUUUGCAAUGGGAGGUGCUUGCAGGGGCUCCCCAGUUCUGCGCUGUGAGCCGGGGCACAAAGAGAGCCCUCUGCACCUCGUGCCGCAGGACCGCGGACCCGAGG